Molecule: transfer RNA, 64 nt
Filed under: Gloydius intermedius (Central Asian pitviper)
Lineage: Eukaryota; Metazoa; Chordata; Lepidosauria; Squamata; Viperidae
Description: tRNA-Thr
Rfam family: tRNA
About the family: Transfer RNA (tRNA) molecules are approximately 80 nucleotides in length.
Source: RNAcentral
GCCCUAAUAGCUUAAAUCUUAAAGCAUUGACCUUGUAAGCCAAAGCCGGAUAUUCCUUAGAGCA